This 301-nucleotide ribosomal RNA is filed under the name uncultured bacterium. RNAcentral's name for it is "partial 16S ribosomal RNA". It matches the Rfam family "Bacterial small subunit ribosomal RNA", at positions 509 to 809 of the family's 1533-position model. The record is from RNAcentral.
CAGUCGCCACGGGAAUACGUAGGUGGCAAGCGUUGUCCGGAAUUAUUGGGCGUAAAGGGCUCGCAGGCGGUUUCUUAAGUCUGAUGUGAAAGCCCCCGGCUCAACCGGGGAGGGUCAUUGGAAACUGGGAAACUUGAGUGCAGAAGAGGAGAGUGGAAUUCCACGUGUAGCGGUGAAAUGCGUAGAGAUGUGGAGGAACACCAGUGGCGAAGGCGACUCUCUGGUCUGUAACUGACGCUGAGGAGCGAAAGCGUGGGGAGCGAACAGGAUUAGAUACCCCAGUAGUCCCUGUCUCUUAUAA